RNAcentral lists this ribosomal RNA (493 nucleotides) under uncultured bacterium. RNAcentral describes it as "bacterial SSU rRNA". It matches the Rfam family "Bacterial small subunit ribosomal RNA", at positions 15 to 518 of the family's 1533-position model. The record is from RNAcentral.
GAUCCUGGCUUAGGAUGAACGCUGGCGGCGUGCUUAACACAUGCAAGUCGAACGAAGCAUUCCAACUCUCGGAGGAAGAAAUGACUGAGUGGCGGACGGGUGAGUAACGCGUGGGUAACCUGCCUUAUACAGGGGGAUAACAGUUAGAAAUGACUGCUAAUACCGCAUAACCCGCUAGUACCGCAUGGUACAGACGGAAAAGAUUUAUCGGUAUAAGAUGGACCCGCGUCUGAUUAGCUAGUUGGUGAGGUAAUGGCUCACCAAGGCGACGAUCAGUAGCCGGCUUGAGAGAGUGAACGGCCACAUUGGGACUGAGACACGGCCCAAACUCCUACGGGAGGCAGCAGUGGGGAAUAUUGCACAAUGGGGGAAACCCUGAUGCAGCAACGCCGCGUGAAGGAAGAAGUAUUUCGGUAUGUAAACUUCUAUCAGCAGGAAAGAAAAUGACGGUACCUGACUAAGAAGCCCCGGCUAACUACGUGCCAGCAGCUGC